UACGGGGGGGGCAAGCGUUGUUCGGAAUUACUGGGCGUAAAGGGCUCGUAGGCGGCCAACUAAGUCGGACGUGAAAUCCCCAGGCUCAACCUGGGAACUGCGUCCGAUACUGGAUGGCUUGAGAUUGGGAGAGGGAUGCGGAAUUCCAGGUGUAGCGGUGAAAUGCGUAGAUAUCUGGAGGAACACCGGUGGCGAAGGCGGCAUCCUGGACCAACACUGACGCUGAGGAGCGAAAGCCAGGGGAGCAAACGGG
RNAcentral lists this ribosomal RNA (253 nucleotides) under uncultured bacterium. RNAcentral's name for it is "partial 16S ribosomal RNA". It matches the Rfam family "Bacterial small subunit ribosomal RNA", at positions 524 to 776 of the family's 1533-position model. The record is from RNAcentral.